Molecule: transfer RNA, 69 nt
Filed under: Metanephrops sibogae (Siboga lobster)
Lineage: Eukaryota; Metazoa; Arthropoda; Malacostraca; Decapoda; Nephropidae
Description: tRNA-Asn
Source: RNAcentral
UUGAAAAAAGCCAAAAUAGAGGCUCAUCACUGUUAAUGAUGGAAAUGGAUUUUCAUCAUCCUUUUCAAG